RNAcentral lists this transfer RNA (94 nucleotides) under Hapsidospora chrysogenum ATCC 11550. Its description in RNAcentral is "Acremonium chrysogenum ATCC 11550 tRNA". It matches the Rfam family "tRNA". Rfam says of the family: Transfer RNA (tRNA) molecules are approximately 80 nucleotides in length. Their secondary structure includes four short double-helical elements and three loops (D, anti-codon, and T loops). Lineage: Eukaryota; Fungi; Ascomycota; Sordariomycetes; Hypocreales; Bionectriaceae. The record is from Rfam by way of RNAcentral.
GGUCUAUUAGUCUAGUGGUUAGGACAUCCGGUUUUGACGAACCGACCUGAGGAAUCACCUCCGGAAGACAUCAGUUCGAAUCUGGUAUAGACCU